UCAGGACGAACGCUGGCGGCGUGCCUAAUACAUGCAAGUCGAACGGUCUUUCUAUGGAAGCUUGCUUCCACUGAGAAGAUAGUGGCGAACGGGUGAGUAACACGUGGGUAACCUGCCCAUAAGAGGGGGAUAACAUCCGGAAACGGGUGCUAAUACCGCAUAGUUUUCUUGAUCGCAUGAUCGGGAAAGGAAAGACGGCCUUUGUGCUGUCGCUUAUGGAUGGACCCGCGGCGUAUUAGUUAGUUGGUGAGGUAACGGCUCACCAAGACGAUGAUACGUAGCCGACCUGAGAGGGUGAUCGGCCACAUUGGGACUGAGACACGGCCCAAACUCCUACGGGAGGCAGCAGUAGGGAAUCUUCCGCAAUGGACGAAAGUCUGACGGAGCAACGCCGCGUGAGUGAAGAAAGGUUUUCGGAUCGUAAAACUCUGUGGUCAGAGAAGAACAAGUUGGAGAGUAACUGCUCCAGCCUUGACGGUAUCUGACCAGAAAGCCACGGCUAACUACGUGCCAGCCGCCGC
RNAcentral lists this ribosomal RNA (521 nucleotides) under uncultured bacterium. RNAcentral's name for it is "bacterial SSU rRNA". It matches the Rfam family "Bacterial small subunit ribosomal RNA", at positions 24 to 518 of the family's 1533-position model. The record is from RNAcentral.